UACGUAGGUGGCAAGCGUUGUCCGGAUUUACUGGGCGUAAAGAGCGCGCAGGCGGUCGUUCAAGUCGCGUGUGAAAGCCCCCGGCUCAACUGGGGAGGGUCACGCGAUACUGAUCGACUCGAAGGCAGGAGAGGGUAGUGGAAUUCCCGGUGUAGUGGUGAAAUGCGUAGAUAUCGGGAGGAACACCGGUGGCGAAGGCGGCAUCCUGGACCGGUAUUGACGCUGAGGCGCGAAAGCUAGGGGAGCAAACGGG
This 253-nucleotide ribosomal RNA is filed under the name uncultured bacterium. RNAcentral describes it as "partial 16S ribosomal RNA". It matches the Rfam family "Bacterial small subunit ribosomal RNA", at positions 524 to 776 of the family's 1533-position model. The record is from RNAcentral.